This 425-nucleotide ribosomal RNA is filed under the name uncultured bacterium. RNAcentral describes it as "partial 16S ribosomal RNA". It matches the Rfam family "Bacterial small subunit ribosomal RNA", at positions 354 to 796 of the family's 1533-position model. The record is from RNAcentral.
GUGGGGAAUCUUGCGCAAUGGGCGAAAGCCUGACGCAGCCAUGCCGCGUGAAUGAUGAAGGUCUUAGGAUUGUAAAAUUCUUUCACCGGGGACGAUAAUGACGGUACCCGGAGAAGAAGCUCCGGCUAACUUCGUGCCAGCAGCCGCGGUAAUACGCAGGGGGCUAGCGUUGCUCGGAAUUACUGGGCGUAAAGGGCGCGUAGGCGGACAGCUUAGUCAGAGGUGAACGCCCAGGGCUCAACCUUGGAAUUGCCUUUGAUACUGGCUGUCUUGAGUUUGGGAGAGGUGAGUGGAACUCCGAGUGUAGAGGUGAAAUUCGUAGAUAUUCGGAAGAACACCAGGGGCGAAGGCGACAUACUGGCUCAUUACUGACGCUGAGGCGCGAAAGCGUGGGGAGCAAACAGGAUUAGAUACCCGAGUAGUCC